GACAGAGGAUGCAAGCGUUAUCCGGAAUGAUUGGGCGUAAAGCGUCUGUAGGUGGCUUUUAAGUCCGCCGUCAAAUCCCAGGGCUUCAACCCUGGACAGGCGGUGGAAACUACCAAGCUGGAGUACGGUAGGGGCAGAGGGAAUUUCCGGUGGAGCGGUGAAAUGCGUAGAGAUCGGAAAGAACACCAACGGCGAAAGCAACUCUGCUGGGCCGACACUGACACUGAGAGACGAAAGCUAGGGGAGCGAAUGGGAUUAGAACCUACCGUAGUCAGAUCCGAAGACCAUA
This 289-nucleotide ribosomal RNA is filed under the name uncultured bacterium. Its description in RNAcentral is "partial 16S ribosomal RNA". It matches the Rfam family "Bacterial small subunit ribosomal RNA", at positions 524 to 811 of the family's 1533-position model. The record is from RNAcentral.